ACUUGAGUAGGACACCUAGGAUGCAGCUGCUGUGUGUUUUUCCAAUUUACAAGGACAAUCAUGAGGGAAAGAGCACUGUGUUGGGAGCCUAAAGAUGUGGCUCCCUGCCACCAACCACUUAUGCAAACUUUGGCAAUCAGAUGGAGUUUCACUCUUGUUGCCCAGACUGGAGUGCUAUGGCAUGAUCUUGGCUCACUGCAACCUCCACUUCCCAGGUUCAAGCAAUUCUCCUUCCUCAGCCUCCCAAGUAGCUGGGAUUACAGGCACUCGCCACCAUACCCAGCUAAUUUUUUGUAUUUCUAGUAGAGAUAAGGUUUCACCAUGUUGGUCAGGCUGGUCUCAAACUCCUGACCUCAGGUGAUCCACUCGCCUUGGCCUCCCAAAGUGCUGGGAUUACAGACAUGAGCCACCGUACCCAGCCUACGGUCUCUUUUAUAAGGGCUCUAAUCCCAUUCACGAAAUCUCCACCUUCAUGAUCUAAUCACCUCCCAAAUGCUGCACCUCCUAAAACCAUAGCAUUGGGGAUUUGGAAUUUGAUGUAUGAAUUUCAAGGAGACACAAACAUUCAGACCAUGACAAUAAUACUUAAUAAAUACUGGU
RNAcentral lists this long non-coding RNA (600 nucleotides) under Homo sapiens (human). RNAcentral describes it as "non-protein coding lnc-LEMD3-5:1". The record is from RNAcentral. Lineage: Eukaryota; Metazoa; Chordata; Mammalia; Primates; Hominidae.